UGGGGAAUAUUGGACAAUGGGCGCAAGCCUGAUCCAGCCAUGCCGCGUGAGUGACGAAGGCCUUAGGGUUGUAAAGCUCUUUUGGCGGGGAAGAUAAUGACGGUACCCGCAGAAUAAGCUCCGGCUAACUUCGUGCCAGCAGCCGCGGUAAUACGAAGGGAGCUAGCGUUGUUCGGAAUCACUGGGCGUAAAGCGCACGUAGGCGGAUGUGUCAGUCAGGGGUGAAAUCCCGGAGCUCAACUUCGGAACUGCCCUUGAUACAGCACGUCUUGAGUCCGGAAGAGGUGGGUGGAAUUCCUAGUGUAGAGGUGAAAUUCGUAGAUAUUAGGAAGAACACCGGUGGCGAAGGCGGCCCACUGGUCCGGUACUGACGCUGAGGUGCGAAAGCGUGGGGAGCAAACA
Molecule: ribosomal RNA, 402 nt
Filed under: uncultured Pedomicrobium sp.
Lineage: Bacteria; Pseudomonadati; Pseudomonadota; Alphaproteobacteria; Hyphomicrobiales; Hyphomicrobiaceae
Description: bacterial SSU rRNA
Rfam family: Bacterial small subunit ribosomal RNA
Source: RNAcentral